This 791-nucleotide ribosomal RNA is filed under the name uncultured bacterium. RNAcentral's name for it is "bacterial SSU rRNA". It matches the Rfam family "Bacterial small subunit ribosomal RNA", at positions 8 to 796 of the family's 1533-position model. The record is from RNAcentral.
AGAGUUUGAUCAUGGCUCAGAUUGAACGCUGGCGGCAGGCCUAACACAUGCAAGCCGAGCGGUAGAGAGAAGCUUGCUUCUCUUGAGAGCGGCGGACGGGUGAGUAAUGCCUAGGAAUCUGCCUGGUAGUGGGGGAUAACGUUCGGAAACGGACGCUAAUACCGCAUACGUCCUACGGGAGAAAGCAGGGGACCUUCGGGCCUUGCGCUAUCAGAUGAGCCUAGGUCGGAUUAGCUAGUUGGUGGGGUAAUGGCUCACCAAGGCGACGAUCCGUAACUGGUCUGAGAGGAUGAUCAGUCACACUGGAACUGAGACACGGUCCAGACUCCUACGGGAGGCAGCAGUGGGGAAUAUUGGACAAUGGGCGAAAGCCUGAUCCAGCCAUGCCGCGUGUGUGAAGAAGGUCUUCGGAUUGUAAAGCACUUUAAGUUGGGAGGAAGGGCCAUUACCUAAUACGUGAUGGUUUUGACGUUACCGACAGAAUAAGCACCGGCUAACUCUGUGCCAGCAGCCGCGGUAAUACAGAGGGUGCAAGCGUUAAUCGGAAUUACUGGGCGUAAAGCGCGCGUAGGUGGUUUGUUAAGUUGGAUGUGAAAUCCCCGGGCUCAACCUGGGAACUGCAUUCAAAACUGACUGACUAGAGUAUGGUAAAGGGUGGUGGAAUUUCCUGUAGCGGUGAAAUGCGUAGAUAUAGGAAGGAACACCAGUGGCGAAGGCGACCACCUGGACUGAUACUGACACUGAGGUGCGAAAGCGUGGGGAGCAAACAGGAUUAGAUACCCUAGUAGUCC